Molecule: ribosomal RNA, 466 nt
Filed under: uncultured bacterium
Lineage: Bacteria
Description: bacterial SSU rRNA
Rfam family: Bacterial small subunit ribosomal RNA
Source: RNAcentral
AACGAACGCUGGCGGCAGGCCUAACACAUGCAAGUCAAACGGCCCUUCGGGGCAGUGGCGCACGGGUGCGUAACGCGUGGGAAUGUACACCUUGGUAAGGAAUAACUGCUGGAAACGGUAGCUAAUACCUUAUAAUGACUCCGGUCCAAAGAUUUAUCGCCAAGGGAUCAGCCCGCGUCAGAUUAGAUAGUUGGUGGGGUAAUGGCCUACCAAGUCUACGAUCUGUAGGGGGUCUGAGAGGAUGAUCCCCCACACUGGUACUGAGACACGGACCAGACUCCUACGGGAGGGCAGCAGUGAGGAAUAUUAGACAAUGGGCGGAAAGACCUGAUCUAGCCAUGCCGCGUGAGUGAAGAAGGCCUUAGGGUUGGUAAAGACUCUUUCUAAUAGUGAAGAUAAUGACGGUAGCUAUAGAAGAAGCUCCGGCUAAAUUACGUGCCAGCAGCCGCGGUAAAGUACGUACGAU